This is a long non-coding RNA of Hipposideros armiger (great roundleaf bat), 934 nucleotides long. RefSeq lists it as uncharacterized. The transcript is spliced from 4 exons. The record is from RefSeq and is a predicted model, not a curated record. Lineage: Eukaryota; Metazoa; Chordata; Mammalia; Chiroptera; Hipposideridae.
CGACAAUCUCUUCAAGCCUUGAUUCUAUCAUCUGAAAAAUGGGGAUAAUAAUUCCUGCAUCUCAGUGCUUUGAUGGACACUUAGUGAGGUUGGAGAGUCAGGUCCGACCGAAGGGCUGGGGCACUAGUGUCUAUGAUCGUCAGUCACCAGCAGCUGCAAGAUUUCUCUGACAAAUGUGCAAACGUGGGACCGAGUUAGUCAGUGUGCCCCCUGGAAGAAGGUUCUAAAAUGGCGGGUUCGCACCGGAGAGGGCUCAGUCGGAAACAAAAGGGCAGAGAGCAGAAGGAGCGAGGAGAAAAUGAACAUAACUGGAUGUGAUGCCUGGAGGUGCAGUAGCCAUUUUGCAACCAUGAGGCAACAAGCAUGAGAACAAAGGCCUACAGUGAAGGAUGUUAGAAUGGAAAGAUAAAUGAGCUUGAUACCUGAUGACAUCAUUGAGUCACAUUAUCAGCCCUGGAUUUUCUACUCCUGGACUCUAGUUGUGGAGACUUCUAUCUGUUUAAGUUACUGUAGCAGGGUUUUCCAUUAUUUGCAGAAAAAUACAAUCCUAAGCUAUAUUCCCAGGCUGUUCAAAUCUGUUUACAGUUAUUCUUUCUUUAGUAAAGCAAGGAAAUAAUUGACGGUCAGCUUCUGAAUUUGACCUUUCCACAAAGUUAUACACCAUUAUUAGCUUCCCUCAGUACCAUUUCUUUGAGUUAACUGAUUUCAGUGUCCCUCUGAUUUCCUGUACCAUCUAAAGUUUUGAAACCACACGAAACAAGAGUCAGGGUUCAGGUUAGGGGCUAUCUUCAGCUAAGCAUAAUGAAUGGUUGUAGUUUCAACUUGCUAACAAUCUAAUUGGACACCUGAAGUCAUUGUUAUUUCAUUAAAAGAAGCAUUUCGUGGCUGAUUGUAUGUAGUUAGCUAAAUUAUUUUGUGACAUAUCCAUAUGUCA